This 3479-nucleotide long non-coding RNA is filed under the name Canis lupus familiaris (dog). RNAcentral describes it as "lncRNA (ENSCAFG00845011703.1)". The record is from RNAcentral. Lineage: Eukaryota; Metazoa; Chordata; Mammalia; Carnivora; Canidae.
AUGCGGACAGGGCCCCCCCAAACAGCACAGGGAGGGGAUGGGAGGACCAAGGGCACCUCUGACUGCUGGGCUCUGGAUCCCGGCUCUGUCCCUGUCCCGCUGCGUGAGCUUGGGCACCCCGUUCCGCUCUCUGCUCACGGAAACCACAGCGUGAGCCACGAGUGUUCUGAGCACCCACCCACCGAGUUCAUUCUGGUCCACUUAGAAGAGGGCCCUGUGGGGAGCAACUGCCUCGGACUCGGACUCGGGGUGCUUUCUAUCUCUGCGGCACUGAUUGGAGGCCCGAAGGGAGCCGAUACGGCGCUGGGGAGAUGAGCAAGACCUGAUUCCUGUCCCUAAGGAGAGGCUUCCGGGUGGACUGGACGUGAGUCAUCACCUGAAGUUUGAGAUGUUGGUAAGACUGGACGGGCUGGGAGGAGGUGACAAGAGCAAAGGCCAGGAGGCGAGAAGGCCAGGCAGGCUGGGAACUGCUGGGGAGGGGCGGGGGCUGGGAGCAGCAGGUUGAAGGGCUUCUGCUCCGAAGUCACACUCACCCGGCGCGCACCCCACCUGCAGCCCUCCUAAGCUGAGGGUCCUGGAGCUGGGGACUUAAUCUCUCAAACUCCUUCUUUUCAUGGAAAAAUCACACUAGUGAAAAGGCUGCAAGAAAGGGUGACCUAGACAGCGGUUGGUGCACGCACAGGAAGCACGGAAAGCGCUUCUCUGCACCCCUCCCCUGCCAGGGUGACCUGGCAAUCUGCUAGGAGCCACUCCCCGGACACCCCUGCCCUCCAGGGUCCCUCCUCUGCUCACCCUCCCCAAAUGAAAUACUCCCCCCGGCCCCCCCCCCCAAGCCCUUCCUGCUGCCCAGGCCUUUGCCUUUCCUCUCCCUGGAACACCCCUCCUGCCCUGGGUCACCCGGCCUCUGUCCCCCUCUCCACGGGGCUUCCCUGGCCACCGACCAAGAUGCUUCACACACACCCCACUGGCACAUUUCAUACCCCCCUCUUUUUUUCUUCUUAGCAUUUAACACCGGCACACAUGCUAUAUACCUCCAUUACCGUGCCCUUUGCUAGAAUAUGGGCUCCGCCAGGGCAGGGGUUCGUGUGUUUUGCUCACCGAGGUAGUUCCAGCACACAGUAGGUGCUCAAUAAAGAGGCGUUGGUCAUGGGGCCCCUGGGGGACUCAGCGGUUGAGCGUCUGCCUUGGGCCCAGGGCGUGAUCCCCUGGUCCCGGGAUCCAGUCCCACGUCAGGCUCCCCACAGGGAGCCUGCUUCUCCCUCUGCCUGCGUCUCUGCCUCUGUGUGUGUAUCUCAUGAGUAAAUAAACAAAAUGUUAAAAAAAAAAAAAAAAAAGAGGCACUGGUCGCACGCCUGAAGGAGUCCCCUAACCAAAGAAGGGGCCGGUGGGGUGGCCGCCAGUGAGCUGACCGGCAUCAAGCUUUAUCAUUCGCGGGGGAGUUCCUACCCCUCGGGGGCUGAGCCGACCGCUGGCUGGAGGAUGCAGUUCCGGGGAGACCGCAAACCACCCUCACCCCAGACCCCGGGACAGGCCGGGGCCCAGAGCCACGGGACGCGGGGGAGUGUUGGACUGACCACCGUAGGCGGUGUAGCCGAGUCCAAAUAGCGCACGCCAGGCAGCUUAGCACGGCAGGGAUCUAUCUCUCCGGGUUCUGGAGGGCAGAGGUCCAAGGUCAAGGUCGUGGCAGGGCUGGUUCCCUGGGGACGUGUCCGGGGCCCUGGCGGGGCUGGCGCUCCUUGGCUCACGGGCGCCCGGCUCCCAUCUCUGCGUCUCCCUGGGGGUCUGUGUCUUCACAAGGACGUAGUCCGCCUCAAUCCCAGUGGCCUCAUCAGAACUUAACUAGUUAUAUCUGCAAAGACCCCACAGGGUCCCCCUCACAGGUUCCAAGGGACGGGACUUUUGGGAAGGGGGACCCUGGUCAGGCCAACAGACAGUGAAGAUUCGGAGCUCCCAGGCAGGAGGAGGGCCACACGUGCAGACAGGCCGGCCAGCAGGAGCGGAGGUCGGAGGUGCCAGAGGGGUGCUCCAGGGGCCAGGGUGGGGCUCCCCCUGAACCUCCCUGCCCCGCAGCACCUAACUCCUCGGCUCUGGCUCCCAAACAGGCUCUCAGACCCACCCGUUCUCUCCAGCCUCGGGGUCACCGCCAGCCAGCCUGCCUCUCACACUAGUGGGACCAGGGCAAGAAUUCGGGGCACAGGGGUCGCAGAACCCACGUUCGGAAACCCUCCAGUGAGAACCAGCUGCUGCCGCCCAGUGCACUCUGGGCUCCCGUCCAGCCCCCCACUCCGGCCGCAGACACAGGGAGCAUCGGGCCGGGGCGGCCUCACAGCCCAGGAUGGAUCCUAACCCACGCGGGGAGGACGUGCGCGGCGGGGAGCCCUCGGAGGCUGGCGGCUGCUCCUCAGGUGCGCCCGGUGCCUCUCUCCUGGGAGCUCCACCCGAGGGAGCCCGACGCCCUGUCCCCACAAAACGCGCGCCCCAAUAUUAACAGCAGCAGUGUUUCUAAUUUCCAAAAUGUGGAAUCAACCCAAAUGUCCAUGGACUGAUGGCGGCUGAGACGGCCGAAGCUCUCCACCUGCUGGAAUUCCGUCACCUGCAGCAGGGGCGAGGCCCCCCGAACUCUGGCGGACCCCCAGCCACGGCGCUCGGGGAGGGAGCCACACACAGGAGGCCCCACGGGGUGGCAGGAUGGCUCGUCCACGGAGGGGGGCUGGGCGCUGGGGACGGGAAGGGAUGGGGCUUCUUUUUGGGGAGAUGGAAUGUUCUAAUGUGGAUGGUGGUGGAUGCCGAGUGCUGUGAAUAUUUUUUUUAAUAAUAUAUUUUUUUAAAUUUUUAUUUAUUUAUGAUAGUUACAGAGAGAGAGAGAGGCAGAGACACAGGCAGAGGGAGAAGCAGGCUCCAUGCACCGGGAGCCCGAUGUGGGAUUCGAUCCCGGGUCUCCAGGAUCGCGCCCUGGGCCAAAGGCAGGCGCUAAACCGCUGCGCCACCCAGGGAUCCCUGAAUAUUUUUUUAAAAAUCACUGAACUGUGCACUUUUGGGCGAGAAUUGUAUGCUAUGUGACUUUGUGACUUGUAUCUCAAUAAAGUUGUUGGGGAAUCCCAGCUGCAGUCCUGGGACACCCUCCCCUUGGUGGAUCUGAUUGCCGCCUCCCUCUCCACAUCUGGGCUGCGUCCGGGACUCGCCACUCGUGGGGACCCCCUGCCCACCGCAGGACCAGAUCCCACGUAAGACGUCCCGCUGCGCUGCAGCCGUGGGGACGUGGGACCCCACGGACCAGGAGAGGGGGUGGCUCAGGCCCCAGCCUGGCCUGCCCGUGAGCUGGACACCACCCAGGGACCCCAUCGACCCGCCUGGGACAGAGGACCUCCCCUCUGAGCCCCACUCCCGACUCCCGGAACUGUGAGACGUAAGCCAGUCUGUAGCUGUUACCCCGAGACAGACCCGGACCCACGCCUCGGAAGCUCCCGGGAAGCCUGCAG